ACCUAGGGAUAGGGGUAGGACGAUCAAUUGCGCUAACUUCUGUUUAUAAUGCAAUAUUAAUUACUAGGGGAGUCUAGGGAUAGCAAGCCAGUAGUUAAUAUUAGGCUCUUUUCGCCAAGGGAUCGGGUUAAGGGUAGGCUAAGAAAGUCGCAGAACAAUUAAUUAAUCAAACUAAUAUUUAAGAGUAGUAGAUAAGAGAGGGCGGAUUAGAUGAAAUUAUAAACCCCCAACAACAUCCAUUCAUCCAUUGUUUUCUUUUGUCAAUUGAAUCACCUUUAUUUUGCAUGUUAAUAUUUUUGUUCUCAAAUCCAACUUAUUAAUUUUUAUUUUCAAGUCUUAUUAUUUUAAUUCACGUGAACAAGAAAGCUGUUCGAGUCUGUUGGGAAAACGAUACUUGGUCUUACCAUUUAUAUUACUUGUACGAUUUGGUACACUUGCCAAUUUGUCAACAAGUUUUUGGCACCGUUGCCGGGGACUCGAGGUUUAUUU
Molecule: long non-coding RNA, 489 nt
Filed under: Vigna radiata
Lineage: Eukaryota; Viridiplantae; Streptophyta; Magnoliopsida; Fabales; Fabaceae
Description: long non-coding RNA (VRAD_LNC009040)
Source: RNAcentral